UGUGAAGUGAUUCUUUGCUCCGGUAAGUAAUGUGAAAACUAGUGAUUGUGAUAAGUGAAUUAAUUCUAUUCCUUGUGUUUUGUGCGUAGUGAAUCCCAUCGAGUCGAUCAGCUGAUGGAAAGAGUUUGGCCGUGAAGCGGAAAGGGUGAAGCCGGAGUUAAACCGCAGGAUGGCAGGACAAAUCACAUCGGAGAGAGUGCUGAAUACUCGCCGUCUUGAGAGAAACCUCUGCCGAACAUAGGAACCCCAUCCCACCGUCCGCUUCGCAGAACGCCGGCAGUUUUUUUUACCUGUUCGUCCAGCGACCGCUUGCGCAUGAUGAGCGUAGGUGCAAUAAAAAAAGGGAUCGUA
Anopheles funestus (African malaria mosquito) is the source of this 351-nucleotide long non-coding RNA. RefSeq lists it as uncharacterized. The transcript has 2 exons. Lineage: Eukaryota; Metazoa; Arthropoda; Insecta; Diptera; Culicidae. The record is from RefSeq and is a predicted model, not a curated record.